GCACAAGCGGUGGAGCAUGUGGUUCAAUUCGACGCAACGCGCAGAACCUUACCAGCCUUUGACAUCCCGGUCGCGAGCACCAGAGAUGGAGCUCUUCAGUUCGGCUGGACCGGAGACAGGUGCUGCAUGGCUGUCGUCAGCUCGUGUCGUGAGAUGUUGGGUUAAGUCCCGCAACGAGCGCAACCCUCGCCCUUAGUUGCCAUCAUUUAGUUGGGCACUCUAAGGGGACUGCCGGUGAUAAGCCGGAGGAAGGUGGGGAUGACGUCAAGUCCUCAUGGCCCUUACAGGCUGGGCUACACACGUGCUACAAUGGCGGUGACAGAGGGACGCAAAGGGGCAACCCUUCGCAAAUCUCAAAAAGCCGUCUCAGUUCGGAUUGUGCUCUGCAACUCGAGCACAUGAAGUUGGAAUCGCUAGUAAUCGCAGAUCAGCACGCUGCGGUGAAUACGUUCCCGGGC
This 458-nucleotide ribosomal RNA is filed under the name uncultured bacterium. RNAcentral's name for it is "bacterial SSU rRNA". It matches the Rfam family "Bacterial small subunit ribosomal RNA", at positions 923 to 1379 of the family's 1533-position model. The record is from RNAcentral.